AACGUAGGAGCCAAGCGUUAUCCGAAUUCACUGGGCGUAAAGCGUGUGCAGGCGGCGGAAUAAGUUGGAUGUGAAAUCUCCUGGCUCAACUGGGAGAGGCCGUUCAAUACUGUUCAGCUCGAGGGCAACAGAGGGAGGUGGAAUUCCCGGUGUAGUGGUGAAAUGCGUAGAUAUCGGGAGGAACACCAGUGGCGAAAGCGGCCUCCUGGGUUGCACCUGACGCUCAGACACGAAAGCUAGGGGAGCGAACGGG
Molecule: ribosomal RNA, 253 nt
Filed under: uncultured bacterium
Lineage: Bacteria
Description: partial 16S ribosomal RNA
Rfam family: Bacterial small subunit ribosomal RNA
Source: RNAcentral